This 727-nucleotide ribosomal RNA is filed under the name Klebsiella pneumoniae. RNAcentral describes it as "bacterial SSU rRNA". It matches the Rfam family "Bacterial small subunit ribosomal RNA", at positions 793 to 1520 of the family's 1533-position model. Lineage: Bacteria; Pseudomonadati; Pseudomonadota; Gammaproteobacteria; Enterobacterales; Enterobacteriaceae. The record is from RNAcentral.
GUCCACGCCGUAAACGAUGUCGAUUUGGAGGUUGUGCCCUUGAGGCGUGGCUUCCGGAGCUAACGCGUUAAAUCGACCGCCUGGGGAGUACGGCCGCAAGGUUAAAACUCAAAUGAAUUGACGGGGGCCCGCACAAGCGGUGGAGCAUGUGGUUUAAUUCGAUGCAACGCGAAGAACCUUACCUGGUCUUGACAUCCACAGAACUUUCCAGAGAUGGAUUGGUGCCUUCGGGAACUGUGAGACAGGUGCUGCAUGGCUGUCGUCAGCUCGUGUUGUGAAAUGUUGGGUUAAGUCCCGCAACGAGCGCAACCCUUAUCCUUUGUUGCCAGCGGUCCGGCCGGGAACUCAAAGGAGACUGCCAGUGAUAAACUGGAGGAAGGUGGGGAUGACGUCAAGUCAUCAUGGCCCUUACGACCAGGGCUACACACGUGCUACAAUGGCAUAUACAAAGAGAAGCGACCUCGCGAGAGCAAGCGGACCUCAUAAAGUAUGUCGUAGUCCGGAUUGGAGUCUGCAACUCGACUCCAUGAAGUCGGAAUCGCUAGUAAUCGUAGAUCAGAAUGCUACGGUGAAUACGUUCCCGGGCCUUGUACACACCGCCCGUCACACCAUGGGAGUGGGUUGCAAAAGAAGUAGGUAGCUUAACCUUCGGGAGGGCGCUUACCACUUUGUGAUUCAUGACUGGGGUGAAGUCGUAACAAGGUAACCGUAGGGGAACCUGCGGUUG